RNAcentral lists this long non-coding RNA (416 nucleotides) under Brassica napus (rape). RNAcentral's name for it is "long non-coding RNA (BNAP_LNC006900)". Lineage: Eukaryota; Viridiplantae; Streptophyta; Magnoliopsida; Brassicales; Brassicaceae. The record is from RNAcentral.
GGGAUCACCUGAUUUGAAAGUGGGAUAGCUUCGUCAUCCUAACUCCUAUGAGAUUUAUUCAACUUCCUGGUGGUUCUCCACUACAUUAUGUAUCAAACUCAAGCUUCUUACAUCGUUAUUCAUUCUGGUUUGAUUAGAAUGACAAAGAAGUUGUCAUAUUCCCAAACAAGAAAACUGGGAUCACCUGGUUUGAGAGUGGGAUAGCUUCUUCAUCCUAACUCCUAUGAGAAUUAUUAAACUUCCUGGUGAUUCUCCACUACUUUUUGUAUCAAAUUCAAGCUCCUUACAACACGAUUCAUUCUGGUUUGACUAGAAUGACAAAGAAGUUGUCAAAUUCCCCAACAGGAAAACUGGGAUCACCUGAUUUGAAAGUGGGAUAGCUUCUUUAUCCUAACUCCUAUGAGAUUUAUUCAACU